CGCUCUCGUGUGUACCUGUACCCUAAAACCACACGGGGUGAGAACUAUAUAAAUAUAGUUCCCAGUGGGUUCGGCCGCCGACUCCGCCGAUCUUCCCACUAGGUCCAAGCUGGCACAGAUAGAUAGAUAGAAAGAUAUAUGGAAAUACUACUACUAUAUCUACUAUGCCAUCAAAUGCAAAUUAUGCAUGGAACAUCAUCUAGCAACAAUCUACUAUCAUGCUAAUAUGCCUCAACAGUGAAAUGAAUACAACUACAACAUAGUUAUGCAAUGUACUAUGUCUAAUCAUGGUAUGCAUGUCUAAUCAUGGUAUGAAUGCAAUACUCUUAAGGUAUUCAUGUUAUUGCCCAAUCCACUAGGCUACUUUGCCUAAGAUCUCAAAUCUAGUAGGUGAAAAGCUACCUCAUUUUUGUCUCAUUCGAUUUAUGUCUUAAGGGUCCUGAGCAAGAGCUACCCCGGUCCUCGCCCGACUUAGAUCUCGAAGGUCCGACCCAAUCUCGAAGGUCCUAGGCAAAGGCUACCCCGCACUUUGCCCGACUCACAUCUCNNNN
Molecule: long non-coding RNA, 551 nt
Filed under: Ananas comosus (pineapple)
Lineage: Eukaryota; Viridiplantae; Streptophyta; Magnoliopsida; Poales; Bromeliaceae
Description: long non-coding RNA (ACOM_LNC029255)
Source: RNAcentral